RNAcentral lists this ribosomal RNA (497 nucleotides) under uncultured bacterium. RNAcentral's name for it is "partial 16S ribosomal RNA". It matches the Rfam family "Bacterial small subunit ribosomal RNA", at positions 28 to 507 of the family's 1533-position model. The record is from RNAcentral.
GAUGAACGCUGGCGGCGUGCCUAAUACAUGCAAGUCGAGCGAACAGACGAGGAGCUUGCUCCUCUGACGUUAGCGGCGGACGGGUGAGUACCACGUGGAUAACCUACCUAUAAGACUGGGAUAACUUCGGGAAACCGGAGCUAAUACCGGAUAAUAUAUUGAACCGCAUGGUUCAAUAGUGAAAGACGGUUUUGCUGUCACUUAUAGAUGGAUCCGCGCCGCAUUAGCUAGUUGGUAAGGUAACGGCCUACCAAGGCGACGAUGCGUAGCCGACCUGAGAGGGUGAUCGGCCACACUGGAACUGAGACACGGUCCAGACUCCUACGGGAGGCAGCAGUAGGGAAUCUUCCGCAAUGGGCGAAAGCCUGACGGAGCAACGCCGCGUGAGUGAUGAAGGUCUUCGGAUCGUAAAACUCUGUUAUUAGGGAAGAACAAAUGUGUAAGUAACUAUGCACGUCUUGACGGUACCUAAUCAGAAAGCCACGGCUAACUACGUG